This 424-nucleotide ribosomal RNA is filed under the name uncultured bacterium. Its description in RNAcentral is "bacterial SSU rRNA". It matches the Rfam family "Bacterial small subunit ribosomal RNA", at positions 356 to 772 of the family's 1533-position model. The record is from RNAcentral.
GGGGAAUCUUGGGCAAUGGGCGCAAGCCUGACCCAGCCAUGCCGCGUGUGUGAAGAAGGCCUUCGGGUUGUAAAGCACUUUCAGUGGUGAAGAAAAGUCUGGGGCUAAUACCCCCGGAUCUUGACGUUAUCCACAGAAGAAGCACCGGCUAACUCCGUGCCAGCAGCCGCGGUAAUACGGAGGGUGCGAACGUUAAUCGGAAUUACUGGGCGUAAAGCGCGCGUAGGCGGUUUGAUAAGUGGGAUGUGAAAGCCCCGGGCUUAACCUGGGAACUGCAUUCCAAACUGUCAGGCUAGAGUAUGGUAGAGGGAGGUGGAAUUUCCUGUGUAGCGGUGAAAUGCGUAGAUAUAGGAAGGAACACCAGUGGCGAAGGCGGCCUCCUGGACCAAUACUGACGCUGAGGUGCGAAAGCGUGGGGAGCAAA